Non-coding RNA from Rattus norvegicus (Norway rat), 9427 nucleotides. The record is from RefSeq and is a predicted model, not a curated record. Lineage: Eukaryota; Metazoa; Chordata; Mammalia; Rodentia; Muridae.
GCGAGUGUGACCCACUCCGAGCGAGCUCGGAAGACCAGCUGAGGGAGGAUGCAGGGGGCGGGGAGCCCACUGAUUACACAGCAGGAAUGCUGAUAUCUACAAAACCAGCGAGGGUUAAGAGGUGAGGGCUCUUGACUCAAGGACACACUGGGCAUUUUCCAGUUGGAGAGUUACAGUGAAUUAAGGUCACUUGGUAUUUUCAAGUGUUUCCCAAACUGCUGUAAACGAAAGUCUGAAAUUACUCCAUUCUGAAAAUUGUUACUGAUCUCGCAACAGCAGCAAACAUUUGCACGAGGGUUUCCAGUGGCUGUAGGUAAACAAGCCUCGAAUCUCCUUACCGCGGAAACAGAACUGUACAGACAGAGACAAGCUCCAGGCCGAAAGCUGCCUACAGCACCCAGCCUAUACUCGUCCGGAGUCUAGAGUCCAAAUCUGUCCCAGCUUCUGCUCCAAAGGACCCUCCAUUGCAUAAAUGUCUGCAUGUGGAAAUCACUGCAUUUCCUGCUCACAUGAACAGGGUCUGCACUGUAUUAUGAAGGGACUGAGCCUCUGUAAGAACAGGGAGGAGGAAACUAUUCCCCAUGGCUCAAUCACACGUUUCUCUGAAACGACAACGACAAAAUCCAUUCUGGAUAAGGACAAAGGUAACCCUCUUCAUGUUAAAAACCGCCCCCUCCCCAUCUUAGUGGUCCCCAUCACUGUGAGAAGCUGGGCCACCUUGGGGAUAGGUAAGUACAAACUUGAUUUUGGACAUGUUCUUCCCUGGGCUUCCCCUACCCAAGUGGAACCGAAGGACUGAAACCCAUCCAGAGCCAAGUCCUAGGUCACAGACUCCACAGAACAGAGCCACUAGCAUGCCUUUCCUCUCCCUGGCUCUGUCGCACGCAGUACAGCCAGCACGUAGUUCAGACCAGUGAUCUAGCACACCCAAGCAAACCAAGGCCAGCCACCACCAGCACCCUGGCUUCCUUUUCUCUCUGACCCCUCAAGAAUCCGCUCCUCUCUGACUGUCUUCCUCCAGUCUGCUUCUCUCCUCAGCAUGACCCUCCUGUAAAGCCCACUGCCCUCUCCAGGCCAUGAAAUGGCCUUUCUGUUGUCUGUCAGGAUUUGAAAGACAUGCCCUGCAGUGCUGUUUGCCUCCAACCCCAGACAUGCCCCAGAGAAAGUCCACUGUAAUGAGGAGCUUUAAAAGUCUCUGCUCCACGUAACUACAGCUAAGGAAACUGCAUACCACCGUUUUGGUAAGGCACAAAAUAAUCAAUUUCUUUUUCUCUUUGGUGCUGUUUUUAAGACAGGGUCUCACUCUGUAGCCCAAGGUGACCUCACUAGGUGUCCCAGGCCUGCUUUAAGUACCUACCUCAAUCUCCUCAAGUGAGGAAUCAGAGGUGUGGGGGCAAACAGCACCUGGAUAGUAGACACUUGGACUCUGACAUCAAAUUUUUUGAGACAGACAGACAGACAGACAGAAGACAGACAUGCCAUAUGCAAGAGGAAAAUGGCCAUUGCAUAUUAACGUUGUGUGUUUUGUACUUUAAAAGGCUCACCGGCUGACAACGACCUUAUCAUUCUGGUGGUUCCAAGUGGAAAAUGGCGUCACAGGUGCAACGAGACAAGGCUGGAACAAUGCGUUCCUGCAAACAGUCCAAGGAAGUUUCUUUUUCCUUUCAAAGAUAAAGAACAUAACCCAGAAAUAAUAGAACUACUUACGCACAAAGGAAAGACUUGGCAGUGGCUCUGCGAGUCAGGUUUAAGGGUCUGUUUGUCUUUCCAUGUUACAGGGGAAGGCAAAUGAGCAGGAAAGAGAGCAAGGGCAAGUCUGCCCUCUGAAGCCCACGGCUCACCAAAGCCACGAGCAUGGUUUUACCUUUAAAACGUUAAAAAGUAAAACAACAAUAAUAAAAAAUAAUAGUAAGCAAAGAAACAGACGUGGGGGAGGAAAAGGGGAAGAAAUCUGUAAUGGUUUUUCUCAGUUAAAACUCAAGUAAACUAAAAAAAAAAAAAAAAAAAAAAACAAAAAACUCAAGUAAACUAAUGUUUAAGCUGAUGACGGGACCUAAAAAUUUCUUACUGAUUCCAUCAACUGAAAUAGAUUUUAAAAGCAACUGUACGCAAACAAAGCAAACGAUUCAGGUAUUAGGCAGAAGAGAAAGACGAAAUAGAAUGAGGAAGACAGCACUUGGGAGACAAAGGCAGGUAGACGUCUGUGAGUUUAAGGCUGGGUUAUACACAGCGAGUAUCAGAGAACCUAUGGCUGCCCAGAGAGGCCACAUCCUAAGGGGAGGGGGCAUCGUACAGAAAAAUGAUCAGAGUGGCCUCUGCCUUUGCCCUUAGCAUAAUCAGGUAUCCACACACCAGGGACAAGUAUCCUUCAACACUGACAGCGUUCAGUGGGAUAGGUGCCCUCAAGGAGCUUCAGUUAAAGCCCGCAGUGUGAAGAAUCACAGAAAGCAGUCAUCAUGGCUACACCAUCAGGGAAGACCCCCGAGAGGGAGCCCCAUCUUUGCCAAGUGCCUCAGAGAUACUCUGAGGAGGGGAGUCAUGUUCCAAAAGACACUUGAGUCAAAAGCAUCAUGGGCUAGUGACGGGGCUCGGUGUGGACAGACAGCUUGUGGCUCGGUGGACAUAUCUUUUUCUUCUGAGCUCUCACUACCUGGCUCUGCCUUCAGGGCACCUCCUCUUCUAACACCCCAUGUCUCCCGGGAUGAUGAGGACUUUGUCUUCCCCUUCCUUUGGGUAGGGGCACAAAUCUGAUCCUUUCAGAUUAAAAUCCAGCCACUUGGAGUGAGUCUCAAGCACUCAAUCCUGCCUCGGCUCGCUUCAAUACAGCACGGCGUACAUACAGACUGAUGGACAUUAUUAAUUUACUUAAGUAAGUGCUCUACUCUGGCUACCAAAAAGAACAAAGUUCCCAUGGACCACUGGACUAUGACUAGGGGCUCCAGAGGCAAUCUGCUCCCAAUCUGCUAUCUCUGUCUGAGGGACAAAGUAGUCUUGAGAAUCACAAACACAUUUCUGUCUGCCUCCCCACCCCAGUCAACCACCCCACCUCACCCCCUCCAAAUGAAACUCCCAGCUUCCAGGUGUAUGUAUAAACAGAGGUGGCAAAAUCCAUUCAAAAAGCUACCAUGUAUCCAAGCCAAUGGCUUCCAGAAGGACACGUCUGUUGAUAAUGUGGAACUGGCUUUAGUUAGAAAUCUACCCAGGGUGGGAUGAUCUGCCUAUAAAACUGGAUACAUCAGACCCACGUGUCAAGUGCAGCAAAGGGGACGUCUCACCAGAGAUUAGUCUGAGAGAGUCACAGUUUUACUCAGUUCCUUUUGCCUUAACUUGUGCUUUCAAAGUGGUGUGGGUCUGUAAGCAUCGCUUCUGUGGUUUUAUAAACGUACUUUAUUCAGGAAGGCAACGGGGCCACUUUGUAGCCAAGUCCCUAAUAUAGAAAGGCGGGCUGGCAAGGGCUGACUAUUCUGUUCUGUAGUCCAGAAAGUGUCAUGAAUUAGAAAAGGACAAACUGCCCGUACACCAGGACUCCUCUCCAGGAGGGAGGCCUCAGCACAUCUCAACUCCUGGACUCUGGUUCUAACCUUGUCCCAGGGAGGCUCGUCUCACGCUGAUGGGCUCGGGAGGCUCCUGUGGGUGUUUACACUGCAUUGCGGGCUCAGGGGAACAGAAAUAGUGCCGUUUCAAUCCUCAGCCCAGCCUCCAAGAGAUCCUCAAGUGGGUGAGAGGCUGGGCACGUCUGUCCUUGGUUAGAGCUGCAACAGGAGAGUGAGCAUUUACAUCUUGGGAGGCUCUCCGAAGCCACAGGCACCUGUUCUGCUAUCUGGUGACAAUGUCCUCCCAGAGCAAUUCCAAACGAGCCGGGUGAAGGAAGAAAAUACAUGCAAAACUGGACUUUCCUCUGGAUUCAAGGUAAAAGGCAUGGAGGGGUUUCCUGCUCAGGAAGUGUGGAGAACACUUAUGUUCCCAGGUUCCGAACGAAGAGCACGUGCAGUGCCCAGGAGGGGCUUGUGACUGCUGAUACAUCUGCAUGUCCUCAGGCACACAAAGGAACAUGAAGUGACUCUCUCGCUGACCUGGAAAGAUCACAGGCGGCUCCGCAACGGUUCCCUCGCAACUAACUGGAUGAGACAUCUCAUUCAAAAUAAUUUUUAACUUGGUGGUUAACAGUUAGAGUACCAAGCAAUGACCAUCUCCAACAGUGGUAAUUUUUUUCAUCAGUUCAGUUAAAUGAACCAAGGAAUGCAGGUUCUCCCCACAUUAUUCUUAACGUCCAAGGUUCAAACACAUGCUGGUCCUAAAGGCUUGGCGUCAAGGCCUCCAUGGAGGUCAACCUGAGUGGAAAGAGAACUCUUUAUCUGUAGACUCUGGGUUUAGGUGGCUAUAUUUGCUGAAACUAUAUAUCCAGAGACUGAACACCGGAAGAAAACGGGAGAUGGGGGAAUGGAGGGGACACAGGAAAGGGUCUGCAGGGAAAGGGGAGGGCUGUGUGGCUGACCACUGAAAAGACCAACCAUCCCUGAGUAGAUCAGAAAGCAAGGCCAAGAGCCCCAGCCUCUAUGCCAAGCUCCACAUGAAGGCUGUGUAGGUAUAGUUGGUUUAAGGAAACCCAGUACGAACUCUCUAGAUCUACGAUGAUUACUGGUGGUACCUUUCUUGGUCAGACCUUGUGCGUUGCUUUGCCUGAACGGCUGAAUGUCUGAACUACAGAUGGGGUCCAGGGGAGAUUCAGACGGAAAGUAUUACGGGCCACUACAUAUGAUUAUGAAUGACAUAAUAACAACAAUGUGCUCGAGUUAUCGAAUAAAAAAUUCAAAAACACCUCCCGGGGGGAUCCUAUUUAUCCCCACAGUACUGACAGAUGCUCAGGACAAGCUCCACAGAACGACUCAAAGCCACAGUCCAUUGGAUUCCAGUGUCCAUGCCCUGGGUACUGACUGACACCACCUCCUUUGAACAGUCGUGAAAAGUAAAGGCCUCCACCCUCUUACAUAUCACCGUAAACUCUGAAACGGAACUCUGAUGACUUAACACUGAAGCCGGUGACUAUUUUCUACUAAUUAUUAUUUCACGUCCUCAAAUCUGGAGCACUGGCAAACGCAUCCACCGUUAUGAGGGAGCAGGAACUGUGACAGUUGACAGGAAAGGGGGAUAAAGAAUCAAACUCACGAGAACUUCAAGUACCUGUCUGGUACAAUCAAUUCCUGGUACAAAUUAGAUAUGCACGGUGUUACUUCUAAAAACACUCUGUACAUUAAGAAAAUUAGGUUCUAUUCCUUGUAACAAUAAGUCAUUCUCAUGAGUUGGAGGGUUAAUUACUAUGAGACACCAACCAAUCAAGUGAAAAGUUCGGCUGCAAAACUGAAUUUUGAGGUUAUAAUUAUAAACUACCAGAACUGGGAACUGUUCCCCCAUUUAUAAGCUUGCCGUCUUCCAAACGCAUAGACAAACGCACCUGAAUGUGUUCCUGCCUUUCUGCUUUACUACAAAGUGUCCCCCCCCCAAAAAAAACCAAAGAACAAAAACAACAACAACAACAAAAAACCACCUUAAGGCCUGUGAGGGGGGAGGAGGUGGUUCACUGGUAAAGUACCUGUCACAAAACCAAGAGGACCUGAAUUCAGAUCCCCCAGUACCCACUAAAAAAAGGUGGGGGGUUGGGGAUUUAGCUCAGUGGUAGAGCGCUUGCCUAGCAAGCGCAAGGCCCUGGGUUCGGUCCCCAGCUCCGAAAAAAAGAAAAGAGAAAAAAAAAAAAAGAUGGACAGUGUCAUGUAAAUCCUGGGAGCUCACUGGUCUAGCUGAUUCGGUCCCCUUAAGUUCAGUGUGAAACCCUAGGUCAAAGGAACCACACAAGGUGAAGAGAGAAACUAAGUAUGACUUCUAACCGGUGAUGUCUGUGUGUCUGUCUAGAGGUAUGCUGCACUUCCUAGUAAAAUCCUGGCAAGACUGUAUUCAGUAUAGAGGAGGUGAUGGUGACACAGUUAGCAACAGAAAGAACUGCGAUAGGGUCCCCUGACUUCGAAAUUUAGGAUGCGAUAACACCAUGUAAAACUAUGCGAUACGGACAGGGAAAUGAGCCACACACCAAUGCAACAGCACAGAGGGACUGGAGCAAGGCCAGUUCAGCAUGUGACUGAGAGGUGACAAGGCUCAAGCUCAACCCAAUGUGGAAAGAGCAGUCUGGGGUACAGACGGCGCUCCCAGGGGUGGGGAGGAAUGAAUCCCAACCUGGGAGGAACCUACCCCCACCUUACUCUCAUACUUUAUUUGAAAACAAUGGACUCAAAACGGUUCAUACAGUUAAAAAAAUCCAACAUAAGCCAUCAAACAGUAAAGCUAGCAGGGGCUUGGAGGCAGGGGGAUGGAUCCCUGGAAUCUAUCACUAGGAACAGAGUUCCUGGUUUAGGCUAUAGGAGACCAGAACUCAAAAGGAAAAAAAAAAAAAUACAGGCCACCAGGCUUUCACAGACUUAAGAAAAUUUGCUCGGUGAAAGGCUGUUAAGAAAAAUGAUAAAGCACAGACUGGGAGAAAAUAUUUACAAACCACGUAUCUGACAAAGAGCUAGAGUCUGGAAUCUAUAAAGAACUCUGAAAACUCAACAUUACAAAAUAAACAAUCUAAUUAGAGCAAAAGACGAACAGAUGCCUCACUAAAGAGGAGGGUACAUAAACAGGAAACAAACACAGGAGAAGGUGUCUGACAUCAUUAGCCACCAGGGAAAUGCAAAUUAAAACCACAAUGAGAUAUCACUCCACAUCAACACACACACACACACACACACACACACACACACACACACACACACACACACACAGGGGCACAGAGAAGGAAGUAAGGAGACCCCCUGGGCACUCAGACUUCCCCGAGAAGAGUAGAUAAUAAAAUGGCACAGCUACUCUGGACUGUUUGGGUGUCUUUACAAAUAAACACGCAGCCACUAUUCUAUAAAACAGAAAUUAAACUUCUAGACACUUCUCCCAAAGAAAAGAAAGGUUACUUACAUUUGUCAAAAUCUGAACAGAGAGGGGUAGAUAGGUAAACUAUGGGAUGUUUAAAAGGAACAAUUAUUAUAAAAUGGCCUUAAACUGAUACCCCUUUGAGAGGGAGAACUGAUUCUUUGUGACCUUGGGUAAGGAGGUUUGUGUAAGGAGGAUAAUACGUUAGUAGACAGGGACCCACACACUGGAUGUUACCUGAUGUAGCAACAGCAAUUUUCUGUUUGCCAAACUGCACUACAUUUCGGGAAAGUUCUGGGGGGAGGAGGGGAUACAGCACGGGAUACUAUUACUUCUUGUAACUGCCUGAGAGUCUGUGACUCUAUAGUCUCUCAGGAAUGAAGGGGGUUUUCUUUUUAAUGGACAUUUCAAAAAAAACCCAGCAGGUAAAUUAACUUCAUGUCUUCUAGUAGGCUAGGCAGAUGGCUUCUUGCAAACCACACUGCCUUGGUUGCAGGACAUGUACUGCCUGUGCACUACUACUUCAUCGGAAGUCACAGCUUGGGGGAGGGGUGCUUAGCUCAAGUGUCUAUGUAGAAACCCCAUCUUUAAGUUAAAAUGCAUUCUUAGCAAAAGUUGCUAUUUUAGUCAUAGCAGUUUAGGGAUACACACACACACACACACACACACACACACACACACACAUAUAUUGAAAACAAAACAAUAAACUAAAAAAAAUCAAAAUAUGUCAUCAGAGUUACUGGCACAAACACAUUUCUAAGCCGAUUAGUGAGCUAAAUUCUGACAGGACUCCUUGCAAAUCAAAGCAAGCCCACCCAAGGCAUCCCUAUUGAAGGCUUGUUUGUAACCUAACAUAAACACUUAAUUUGGGGCUUGCAACAGUUGCUUCUGUCUUAGCAUCACAUAGUUAAAAAUAGCCCCGCCAGUCAGAGUGGUCUGGCGGUGAAGGACAAAGGAAAGUAUCAAGCUGGAAAAGAUACAGAGCAAGGUUGAGAAGGAUCCUGAGACUCUCUGAAGCUGCAUGUAAGCUCUGGGCACUUAUUACGCAGACAGUGUUGUCUGAAUCACCUGCAGUAAAGACUCAGGAAGGCAGAGGAUAUAUAUGCACUUCUUUAUUUUAAAAUAAAACCAUAACGCAUAACUUUAGAUCACUUUUUGUUUUCAUUUCUCCCAAGACAGGAUUUUCUCUGUGUAUCCCUGGCUGUUCUGAAACCCCAUCUGAAAACCAGGCCGGUUCUCCAACUCACAGAGUUCCUCCUGCCUCUGCCUCUGAAGUGCCGGGAUUAAGUGUGCACCACCACCACCCGACACAAACUUCCAUUUCUAUCAGUUGUACUGAAGUUGUAGUACUUUCCAUGUAAUUGAGUUUUUUUUUUUUUAAAAAAAAGAAAAGGAAAAAUUAUUCCCUUUCAUUUCAAAUGCAUGAUUCAGUUUUUUAAACUAAAUCGAACACUAAAUUUUGUCCCUUCUUAAAAAGUGACUGAAUCAGCAACUCGCAAGCUGAAAUCUCUCAAAGACCUCUUUAGAGCAAUAGGAAAAUUAUUUGCUCAAGUCAGAAUGAACCACUGCAGCACAGAACCUGCCCUUUCGCACCAGUGUGGCCGCUCUGAAGUGAGGCUCUGGAAGGUUCCAAUCUCUCACCUGUCUCCUCCCCGUCCCUCCCAAGGAGAUCGCUUUAGGGCUUGUGGUACAGGCCUGGUGUGGUCUCCUACACCAGUGUGGACAAAGGUGGCAGGACGGCAGCCCACCGAUACAACCCCUUUACUUUGCUUUUGGUUGUACUUGUACUGGUUGUUGCUGCUGGGAAUCAUGGGCCAGGUAAAAGCAGGUAGCAUGCAGCCAUGCUUGCUGGCUAGGCUCUUUUCUGGAGGUGCUUGGGAGGUUUACCAACUACCUCAGGAUCCCGGUGACAUGAGGGUACUCCUAGCUACAUCUAGGACUAGGGAGUCUAUAAUUCUGGAAAAGUUAUGCUUGUGAGUUUAACUGCACGAGGCAGUUUGCCGACAGUUGUCAAACCCAGAAUUAGGUGGGUUGGGUAGACCCCAUUUAUAGCAGUAAUACCCCAGCUUGGACCCUUGAAGAAUUAAAUGUCUCCAAAUUUCCACUAUUUUGAAUUCAUUAGGAGAAAGAAUGGCAACAUAUUUACAUAGACUGACAUUUUAUUUAAAGAGCAUAAUGACAGAAAAGUGGUAUGAACUUCGGGAAGGUUGGAGGGCCUUCUCUAUUAAGGGCUUUGAGGAAGUGAACAGGUAGCGUAAGAACCACAGUUUGGUUCCUUUUUUUUUUUUUUUUUUUUUUUUUUUUUUUUUUUUGUUCUUUUUUUCGGAGCUGGGGUCCGAACCCAGGGCCUUGUGCUUCCUAGGCAAGCGCUCUACCACUGAGCUAAAUCCCCAACCCCCCUUUUUAAAAAGACUUAUUUUUAUAUGUAUUGGUGCUUUGCCUACAUGUAUGUCUGUGUGAGGGUGUCAGAUCC